AACUGUAACAGAAAAUAGAAACAAAAUUUUGAUGAAUCGAUUGCAGGAGCGAAAUGAUUUGCACACACAUAUAUAGCAUUAAAAGUAGCAAAUGAUGAUGAAAGUUCAUUAAAGUAAUCGACAACCUUCGUGAUUCCCCGCUAAGUAAAAGGGAAUGACCAGUGACUAAACUGAUGUAAUUUAAGCUCCUUAAAUAGUUCUUUCUCAACUAUUUCUGAGUAUAUGAUGGACGGAUAAACCUUGAGUUAGAAUAAUUGAGAUAUUUGAUAUAUUUAUGACACGGUUCGCUGAAAUUUACAAGUAGAGAAUUCAUGGAAGAAGGAUUGAGUAAAUACUAAGAAAUACUGUGACUAUAUUUAGUCACGUAUAUUCUUUUAUCUUGAAAUAGCUUGUUAUGACGAGAUAUGAUUCUCAUUCAUCCAAGGGAAGUUAUGUCAUUAAACUGCUACUAAAUUAAACUAAAAUACUAUGUAAGUAGUACAUUUGAAAAUGCUUGAAACAGAAAGUAUUUGAUACCAGAAAAAAAUGCACAGAAAUACAUGCAAAGGAAAUAGGGAAGAAUGUAUAAGCAUGAGUUAUCCAACCUAAUACGUACCAAUUGUAUUCAUAAUAUAAUAACAGAAUAACUUAAAUAAAAAGAGAUAAAAGUAACUUUA
This is a long non-coding RNA of Bombus impatiens (common eastern bumble bee), 656 nucleotides long. RefSeq lists it as uncharacterized. The record is from RefSeq and is a predicted model, not a curated record. NCBI's taxonomy places the organism in Eukaryota, Metazoa, Arthropoda, Insecta, Hymenoptera, Apidae. The transcript has 2 exons.